UGGGGAAUUUUGGACAAUGGGGGCAACCCUGAUCCAGCCAUGCCGCGUGCGGGAAGAAGGCCUUCGGGUUGUAAACCGCUUUUAGCCGGGAAGAAAAGGCUGCUCUUAACAGGGGUGGUUCUUGACGGUACCGGCGGAAUAAGCACCGGCUAACUACGUGCCAGCAGCCGCGGUAAUACGUAGGGUGCGAGCGUUAAUCGGAAUUACUGGGCGUAAAGCGUGCGCAGGCGGUUCGUUGUGUCUGUCGUGAAAGCCCCGGGCUUAACCUGGGAACGGCGAUGGAAACUGGCGAGCUUGAGUGUGGCAGAGGGGGGUGGAACUCCUGGUGUAGCAGUGAAAUGCGUAGAGAUCAGGAAGAACACCGAUGGCGAAGGCAGCCCCCUGGGCUAACACUGACGCUCAGGCACGAAAGCGUGGGGAGCAAACAGGAUUAGAUACCCCCGUAGUCC
Molecule: ribosomal RNA, 449 nt
Filed under: uncultured bacterium
Lineage: Bacteria
Description: bacterial SSU rRNA
Rfam family: Bacterial small subunit ribosomal RNA
Source: RNAcentral